UACGUAGGGUGCAAGCGUUACUCGGAAUUACUGGGCGUAAAGCGUGCGCAGGCGGUUGUGUAAGUCUGACGUGAAAUCCCCGGGCUUAACCUGGGAAUGGCGUUGGAGACUGCACGGCUAGAGUGUGUCAGAGGGGGGUAGAAUUCCACGUGUAGCAGUGAAAUGCGUAGAUAUGUGGAGGAAUACCGAUGGCGAAGGCAGCCCCCUGGGAUAACACUGACGCUCAUGCACGAAAGCGUGGGGAGCAAACAGG
This 253-nucleotide ribosomal RNA is filed under the name uncultured bacterium. RNAcentral describes it as "partial 16S ribosomal RNA". It matches the Rfam family "Bacterial small subunit ribosomal RNA", at positions 524 to 776 of the family's 1533-position model. The record is from RNAcentral.